This is a long non-coding RNA of Oryzias melastigma (Indian medaka), 2745 nucleotides long. RefSeq lists it as uncharacterized. Lineage: Eukaryota; Metazoa; Chordata; Actinopteri; Beloniformes; Adrianichthyidae. The record is from RefSeq and is a predicted model, not a curated record. The transcript has 2 exons.
GGUGACGCAUUUUCAAUGGCUCUUUGAAUUACCAUAAUUCCUGAACGGUUUGCUCUAUUUUAAAAAUUCCAACAGUUUCUUGAAGCUGAUACAUUGUGCUUUCUUGUCAAUAUUUGGUAAUUACGGUAAUUUUACCCAGAAGCCUGCAGGAGGUCCCUGUGUUUACCGGUGUGACAGACGAGGCGGUGGAGAGAUGCAGAGAACGGAGCGGUCGAAAAAGUUUUUACAGCGGCAAAAACACAAGAAAAAUGUCUGAAAAUGACCAUCCCGGGAAACAUAUCCUUCAUGGAGGUUCAGAGAAGACUUUGAGACCGAAGGAGCAACGGAAGGAGCCAUUAUUGGCAAGAAAAGGUGUCCUGUGGGAGUCUGUGAGCUGCAGCUGAUGAUGCUGGAGGACUAAAGAUGAGGAAACAUCAGGAGGCUGGAGGUUCUGCUGAUGUGUUCAGAGACCAAAGCUGCUCAUAAAAUCAACAACAGUGGAAGACAGAUGCAGAACCUGAUGAAAGACCCUCAUCCACUGAGAUUCAACCCCAGACAGAUCCCAUGUGUCCAAACAUCUCUAAAUGCAGGAAAACAUCACCAGGUGAAAUCUUUUCCCACUGCAGAAUCUGCACCAGGAGCCCUUCCUGGAAGUUGGACUCUUGACUGUCACUGGCAGCAUCACCAAGACCUUUGAGGUGCCAAGGAGGACAGAACUGCCCUGUGUGACCAAAAACGCCUGGAGAUAUUUAACAAUUUAUGCACUGUUUUUUUGCACAAUUAGACAGAAACAUGCAUGAAUGCUGUUGUAAACAGUUUGAUACUGGACAAAUUCAAAUUUUUAACAAACAAAAUCUGUUGUCCAUAUACAUUUGUACUGUCUUUCUCACUAAAAACAAAAAAUCAAUUUUUUUUUUUUUUUUUUUUUUUUACCAUUUAAAAUCAUCUAACACAUUAUGGAAUAAAAUAAAUUGUAAAAUGAUGAUAUAUAUUGAAGAUUCAAUGUCUUCUGGGGAGAAAAGGGUAAAAGCGCACAUUUGUAGGCCAUUCUCUGAUCCUUUAUAGUCAAAUUUAGCAGAAAAGUUGAGGCGGAAAUUUUGACCCUUAGGCCUUAAAGGGUUAACAGAGAAUUUCUGGAGGUAUUAUCAUAAAGCUUUAGCAGUUUCUAAACGGAGUUCCCUUCCAACUUUGUGUCUACAUUUUUCCAAGUGUUUGUGUGCAAACUUUUAGAGGCAGAAGAAAAAACUAAAAAAGGAUGUUAUGUGAUUAUUAAAACUUCCCUGUGUUGGGUAACUUUAAAAAAAAGUAAUUGAUUACUUUACUUUAGCUACUGGAUGAAAUUGUACUAACAUUACUUUACUCAUUACUCAUUAUAAAAAGUAAUUUACUACUAGUUACUUUACUUUUUUCCUGCCAUGAACAAAUUCUCAAGGGAAAAUCGCAUCACCAAGAUCCUUUUGUCUUUCACUCAAAUUGUUUUUUAAAUCAAUGUCGUCGUACAAACUAUGAGCAUGGUUUAAGACAUAACCUGACUUCAUUAGAAAUCAGCAGAGUGAAUAAUCACACAAAUCUCAAGUAUAUGUGGUCUAUACCACCACUCAAAGCGGCAUGUGGAAAAAACCAACUGUUUAAUACCUCCUGCAGUUUCUUUCUCCUCCUCAAAUGUAGAAAGUCAUUCUGACGAUAGGGGGCGUGGCUAGUGAUGGUGGUUCCAGCUCUUUUUAGAGAACAGGAUUCAUUUUGCUAAAAAGAAUCAUCUCUUUCAGCUUCUAAGUGCCACUUCGGAUUGUUUUGUUGCUUCAUUAUAAUCAGAAAUAUAAAAUUAUGCACAAAAUGAAUUGGUAUAACUACUACUAAUAAUAAUGCCUUUUAUUUAUGAAUGUUGAGUAUAUGUAGAUGCAUUUAUUUAUUAACUUCAGAUAAAAUAUAAUAGGAAUAAUGACAAAAUGUCUUCUAUUACCAUUCAACUUUUGACUUGAUACAUUUUUUUUUAUUUAAAGUGAAACAACCUAUUUCUGUAUCUGUUGCUCCCUUGUGCAUGUGUGCUCCCUAUGCAGCUUCAGGUUUUGCAAGCCAAUAUCAACAUUAAUCCAUUACAUGAAAUAGCUAUGAAUCUCUGAACUGGACACAAAUGUUAGAAGUGCAUAUAAAAUCUUGUUAUGCUAAUGUCAAAUAUAUGUGAAACACAUUUUGAAUAAUGUGUACUUUAAACAAGAUAUAGCAAAGGAAGAUGUGUUAAAAUGUUAUUUCCCACAUAUCGGCUUCAUUUUAGAAUUUUUUUUAGAAAAUAUUUGCCAAGUCAUUGUGCUUUCUAUAUGUCUGCUGCUUGGAUCAGAAAUCGCAGUUGAAGAAGAAUGGUCUAAUUUCAGCAGCUAAAACAAAUGUUUGUAUUUUAUAAAAGAUUCACAUGACUGAGAAAACAUUUUUAUGGUCAGAUUUCAUAAGUCUCAGACUACAAAGUGUACCAGUUUUAUAAACCUGUAAUCAAAACCCUUUGCACAAUCACAAGAGACACACAUGUCUUAUCUAAACUCAUCUGAGAUAUUUUUUGUGUCAAAUCACAUAAGAGCAUUCUAGAAUUGUUUUCGCUUGACAGUGGGGAAUCAAUACAAAACAGUGUUUGUCCCAAAGUUUAUGAGAAGAUGAUCUUUUGAGAGGCACCAAAGUUGUUUACAUUGAAAAUGAUUGACAUGUGAGAAGAGGUAAUGCAGUUAGAAAAUUAAAGUCAAUUAAAAAAAAAGUUUUACAAUUAAAAAAAUAUAAAAA